RNAcentral lists this ribosomal RNA (440 nucleotides) under uncultured bacterium. RNAcentral's name for it is "partial 16S ribosomal RNA". It matches the Rfam family "Bacterial small subunit ribosomal RNA", at positions 338 to 795 of the family's 1533-position model. The record is from RNAcentral.
CCUACGGGAGGCAGCAGUGGGGAAUAUUGCACAAUGGGGGAAACCCUGAUGCAGCGACGCCGCGUGAGUGAAGAAGUACUUCGUUAUGUAAAGCUCUAUCAGCAGGGAAGAAAAUGACGGUACCUGAGUAAGAAGCCACGGCUAACUACGUGCCAGCAGCCGCGGUCAUACGUAGGGGGCAAGCGUUAUCCGGAUUUACUGGGUGUAAAGGGAGCGUAGACGGCGAUGCAAGUCUGAAGUGAAAGCCGGGGGCCCAACGUCCGGACUGCCUUGGAAACUGUAUGGCUGGAGUGCGGGAGAGGUAAGUGGAAUUCGUGGUGUAGCGGUGAAAUGCGUAGAUAUCAGGAGGAACACCAGUGGCGAAGGCGGCUUACUGGACUGUAACUGACGUUGAGGCUCGAAAGCGUGGGGAGCAAACAGGAUUAGAUACCCCAGUAGUC